GUGGGGAAUUUUGGACAAUGGGCGCAAGCCUGAUCCAGCAAUGCCGCGUGCAGGAAGAAGGCCUUCGGGUUGUAAAGCUCUUUUACCCGGGAAGAUAAUGACUGUACCGGGAGAAUAAGCCCCGGCUAACUCCGUGCCAGCAGCCGCGGUAAUACGGAGGGUGCAAGCGUUAUCCGGAAUCACUGGGUUUAAAGGGUACGUAGGCGGUUAAUUAAGUCAGUAGUGAAAGACUGUCGCUCAACGACGGAUGUGCUAUUGAUACUGGUUAACUUGAAUCAGGUUAGAGUUGGCGGAAUGGGUCAUGUAGCGGUGAAAUGCUUAGAUAUGACUUGGAACACCGAUAGCGAAGGCAGCUGACUGAGCCUUGAUUGACGCUGAGGUACGAAAGUGUGGGUAGCGAACAGGAUUAGAUACCCCGGUAGUCC
RNAcentral lists this ribosomal RNA (425 nucleotides) under uncultured bacterium. RNAcentral describes it as "partial 16S ribosomal RNA". It matches the Rfam family "Bacterial small subunit ribosomal RNA", at positions 354 to 796 of the family's 1533-position model. The record is from RNAcentral.